AUUCGAAAAAGUCCAUUCGACCAACGCCUAUAUCUGGUCAGGUUAUUCGUUUGAGAGAUGGUUUUGGGCCUAGUAAUGGUUAUGUUGAGGUACAAGGUGUGCUGCCUGGUUGGGGUAUUCUAUGCGAUUCUAGAAAUAGUUGGACUUUAAGAGAAGCUCACAUUUUAUGUAGACAGCUCGGAUAUAGCAGAUCAUCCUCAGUGUAACAAGUUUGUAAUUAUCCGGAAAACAACGAUGACAUAUUUAUUUUUUCAUUACGCGUGCCCAAU
Molecule: long non-coding RNA, 269 nt
Organism: Cyphomyrmex costatus
Lineage: Eukaryota; Metazoa; Arthropoda; Insecta; Hymenoptera; Formicidae
Exons: 3
Source: RefSeq, a predicted model, not a curated record